CGAUUCGUUUUAGUACGCAUUUGCUUUUAAACGCAAACGGACGUAUCGUCAAAGUAUUUGUGAACCGGCAUUAAAAUUAACAUAUUUGCAAUCAUUUACGCGUUCAAUAAACAGUGAAGACGUCCAGAAAUUCUCUAAUUGGACAGUAUUAAACAAGUAGUGUAUUUUCCUACGUCUAUUAUUUAGUAAGUGCAAGUAUUGUAAUUGUGAUACGUAACGUUAAGAAUGCCAGUCGUAACGUCCAAUUAGUGAAGUGAAAUGGAUUAAUAUUUGUUAGUACAACAACUGCUGUAUAAUGUCGAAGACUUUGAAUGCCUAUAGAAUAAAGAAGAUCGAAUCCUUAGGCAGGAUGACGGCGAUGACGCAGGAGGAGAUGGUGGCCGGCGCGAGGACGGUCGCGGCCGGUUUGGAAGCGCUGCGGGCUGAGCAUACGCAGCUUCUCGCUGGCCUUGCAGCCAACACCGACCAUGAGCACGAGAAGGCGUCCCUGGUCAGGAAGAGUAUAGAUGCCAUCGAACUGGGAUUGGGCGAAGCACAGGUGAUGAUGACCCUAGCAUCCCACCUUCAGCUGGUCGAGGCAGAAAAGCAGAAACUCCGCACUCAAGUCCGCAGACUGUGCCAGGAAAACGCUUGGCUCCGGGACGAGCUGGCUGCAGCUCAGCAGCGACUCCAGGCGUCUGAACAGCGAGUCGCCCAGCUCGAAGAGGAGAAUAAACACCUUGACUUUAUGGCCUCUAUACGCAAAUAUGACAGUGACGUGACUGAAGAGUCGGAGAACAAUCGCGGCGGACAGAGUGAGAACAAGCGCGACGAUCCAAUGGUGGACUUGUUCCCAGACGAUGACCACGAGGACAACAGGACAAACAAAUCGAUGUCACCAACACCACAAUCGCAGUUUGCCCAACAAGUCAACGCUGGGUACGAGAUCCCGGCACGCCUUCGUACACUCCACAACCUGGUGAUCCAGUACGCGUCCCAGGGUCGGUACGAGGUCGCCGUACCAUUGUGCAAACAGGCUCUCGAAGAUCUGGAGAAAACAUCCGGCCAUGACCACCCAGAUGUUGCCACUAUGUUGAAUAUUCUCGCACUGGUUUACAGGGAUCAAAAUAAAUACAAGGAGGCAGCGAAUCUCCUGAAUGACGCGCUGUCGAUCCGCGAAAAGACACUCGGUGAAAACCACCCGGCGGUCGCAGCCACACUCAACAACCUCGCCGUACUGUAUGGAAAGCGAGGAAAAUACCGCGAGGCGGAGCCACUAUGCAAGCGUGCGCUGUGCAUCCGCGAGGCGGUACUGGGCCGUGACCAUCCAGACGUCGCCAAGCAGCUCAACAACCUAGCGCUGCUCUGUCAGAACCAGAACAAAUAUGAAGAGGUGGAGCAAUAUUAUCAACGUGCACUGGAAAUAUACGAAACCAAACUCGGCCCAGAUGAUCCCAAUGUUGCUAAAACGAAGAACAAUCUCGCAUCUUGCUAUCUCAAACAGGGCAAGUACAAAGAAGCUGAAACACUAUACAAGCAGGUCUUAACGCGAGCACACGAGAGGGAAUUUGGUACCAUCGACGGCGACAAUAAACCGAUAUGGCAAGUGGCUGAAGAAAGGGAGGAGAACAAACAUCUUCAGAAGGAGAACGCGCCGUAUGGUGAAUACGGCGGUUGGCAUAAGGCUGCCAAGGUGGAUUCACCGACCGUCACCACGACACUGAAGAACCUCGGCGCCCUCUACCGGCGUCAGGGCAAGUACGAAGCUGCCGAGACUUUGGAAGACUGCGCCUUGCGUAGCCGAAAGGAGCACGUUCAGCAAGCGUUGGACAUCGUGAAGCAAUCCCGAGCGAGAAGCGGGCGUCAGGGCGGCCGCGAAGGACGCGAGGGGGACCCGCAGCUCGACGCUGCUGAGCUCACAUUGAGUAACUAGUUGAAACAAAAUGGAGUGUAAAUUGCAUAACACGGGCGCGGCAGGACUCGGCCGAGGUGUCGCGCAGCGCCAGUUUCUCGAAACUGCGAGAAUCGUUGAGGCGGUCUUCGGCACGACUAUUCAAUCGGAUCGCGGGCCGCCACUCGGCUAACCUGCCCCCUGAUGUAGACUACACUGACCCCGAAAGCAUGAAACGCGCAAGUUCCCUGACCGCGCUCAAUAAGCUACGCCCAACAAGCCCCAAGCACCAAGUACUACAACAACGGUAGCCAACAAAGACAGCACGAAUACUCAAGUAUACAACGUUCACUUUCGUCCGUAUAUUGGCACUGCAAUCGUGAUAGCGGUCGCGACACUAACACAUCUACCUAACAACCUACCAAUUCUAAAGGUGUUCUAGAUUUUAGAAUAUCCAAUUCUUUUGCUUCGCUGACGAACUGAAAUUAUUUUAAUAUACCAUAUUAUCAUAUCGAAGAUUUAACUAGUCUAUUCCAUGUUUUUUUUAUUGAAUGAUAAUGAAAUGGUGACCCUGUUUGCGCUAUUAGUUGGUUGGUUGAAAUAUCAGUGAGGGCUGAUAGAUAAGGAUGACAUCAGAUCAGUUAUCCCAUCGUGAUUAAUUUACUAGGAAUUGGUCACUUUUUCACGAAGAUCUCAUGGGGUAGAUGUAUUACUUAUUAAUAGAAUUGCUCGUUCUUUUUAUUAUGUUAACAAUCUUCUUUCAGUUUUCAGUUCGUCAGCGAGAGCCACAUUGUUUUAUUGGAAAAAGAAAAAAAUGUUUUUAGUAAAAAAUAAGUUUAAACUAUGGCACUAAAAUAAGACUAAGAGCUGAAACAGUUUCAACCACAGAGAUGGAGUUAAAUAGAUACGGCAAUAUUUUUUAAACUCUGCUUAAAAGUUUUGUGAUCCAAAAUGACAUCGAUAAAUCUACAGAUAAUCCAAUUAAGUUUAAUCAACAUUUGCAAUACAAGCUAUUUAAGUAAACUGUUCGUAGUAGAGCCGUUUCUUCGAUAGGUAUUUCAUAUGCCAAACAUUCCAUAAGCGGAAAGUUGCUUGCUAAAAUACUGACAUACGUAUUGUUCUCUCGGUAAUAGAAUUCAUUGAUGAAUUAUUUGUAAGAGGAUCGUUUCAGACCCGAAAAAAUUUAAGAAGCAUGACUGUUGAGUUGUGUUUACGCAGUAUACCUAUAAUAAUAGUUUUUAUAACAUUGUAGUACCUAUCAUACUAUCCCUACCAUACCAUAAACAUAUAAAACGUCUAGUUUUAUAAUUAUCGGCUUUUGUACUUUGAUUUCUUGCAGACUAAGGAAUUGCGGUAUUUAUCUUCAUCUAUAUCUGUGGUUGACAUAUAUCUACUUGUCUAUAUGCAAUAUUUUUAAUAUCUUGCUCCACAUUUAAUUCAGUACCUAAUAAUAUAUUAGUCCAGCUGCUUAGCCCAAACACUUUCGAACCCUCUUCGUUUAGGUAGAUAUAGUUAAGUAUUUUUUAAUUUAAUAUUAGCUAGUUAAAAUUGAUCUCAUUUACAAAAUCUCGUUUAUUCUUUAGAAGAGGGCAUAAAUAGACUCAGAUUCUUUGUGUUAUACCGAAUAAAAACAUUCCAACUUUUCCCAAACUGUAUGCCUAUUAUUUGGUGACAUCAUAAAAAUAAAAUCACGCUUUUGGCUUGUUCAAAUAAAUUGACGUAAGUUUAUAGCAGUUAUCGUAGUUUGUAGGAUUUACAGACAGAAAAAAUAGUAAAUAAGUAUCUAGGUAAUCAUUUAAAGAAAUUCUUCAUUAUUUGAGAAUUAUGGAGCUAGAAAAAAUAUGCUAUGCUGUGUGGUCUUUUAUUAGGUACUUAUAUAUUUUAUUACAGUAUGAAUAGUCUGAGAUAAAAUCAAAAUUUAUUUGUACUUUACAGUACAAAUAAAUACAAUGAUUUCAAUUUCAUCUUUUACAUAAUGAAAUUGAAAUGAUUGGAAAAGAAUAAUUAAUUGAAACGCAUCAAAAAAAAAAAAAAAAAAAACUAAUAAAAAGCGUGCUGUUGUAAGGACACCGUGGACGACUCUUCAUCGAUUUUGGACACACGUUGCUUUAGAAAUAAUAUUUAAUUUCGUUCGUAGAACACUUUCUUAGAAGGAUGCUUAUGAUUUUGAUUUUAGCUUUACAAAAACAUUACAUGGUGUUAUUGCAUACAUUUAAAAUAAUAUUAGGUAAAAUAAUUUUCGAAUAUGAAUUGACUGUUGCAUUGAUUUUUACAAAAAAAAAAAAAUAGGAAGAAUCAUUUAUUACCAUAUAGGUGCAUUAUUGAUUGAUACCUACCAGCACACACACAGCUAGAUAAGACUAUUUCGUACUGUAUGCUUUGCUAUGUAAAACAAUAAAAUGUAUUUAUUUAGGUAUUUUACGGCUUUUAUACAUAUUAUUAAUUAAUUGGAGGAAUUGGAAGGUAAAUAAUGAUUGUAAUUUUUAAAGUUUCUACUAAUUACAUUAAUCUUCUAUUUGACCAUAUUAAAAUUGGAUAUUAAAUACCUACUAAAUCAAUCAAACGGAAAGAGAAGGUUAAUGAAAUUAUGUCAGUGGAAAAAAAUCCACGGGAUUUUAUAUUAACUUUGAUUGUCACAUUUUCUAUUUAAAAUAUGUUUUUAUUUUAGUGGUUGCAUUUUGUUAUUUAUUUUGAAUAAAAUAUUCAAAAUUGCA
Galleria mellonella (greater wax moth) is the source of this 4584-nucleotide RNA transcript. It is a transcript of the gene named kinesin light chain, with no coding region annotated. The record is from RefSeq and is a predicted model, not a curated record. Lineage: Eukaryota; Metazoa; Arthropoda; Insecta; Lepidoptera; Pyralidae. The transcript is spliced from 17 exons.